AGGAAGGUUGCGCGGUUAAGGAAGGAAAUGCAUAAGCGUUCGCGCGGUUUGCGAGUGUUUCGAGAGAAUCGAACGGUAAAAAGUUGGAGAAGAGCACGAGGGAGUUCUAGUUUUAUCCUCGACUUCCGCGAGUCACUGGAACAUUGGUUGAAUAACUUGGUCCGACUCUUCCCGACUCUUCUAUACAAAUAUUCCGCUCAUAAAUAUGUAUACACUGUAAAUCGGGUAUGCGCCAAGACCGUUGGAAGCGUAUCAAAAAACGGAACAAAAGGAUGAUGAAUGAAUUUCAUCGUGUCAGCGGGGCGAAAAGAGGGUUGAACCGCGGCGAAAGAAGAAAGGUGGGCGUGCUCUCGUGAUCUCGCAUUAUCGAAACUUGUACGCGUUACUUAUCCAUCGGCGAUCGGGAACGUUUAUUAAAAGCGGCGAGCUAACACGUUUCUUCGAACCGUCAAUUUUAAAUUCGCGUACGAACGCGGGAUUUUCUCGUAUCGUGCGCAUAUAUAUAAAGCAUAAACAACGAAAAACAUAAAGUUGUUCGCGGUCAACGUUGCAUGCAUACCAAUACUCAAUCACGGGCUAAAUGAAUAAGAGGAAAGAAAUCGACUUUGAAUACGCGAGAGCGACAAGAGGCGAUAAAUUUGAAAAACUAAACAGGUAGAAAAGAGUGGGCAGUUUUAUUCGAAUGAAAGUUAUCUGAAAUCGUAAAAGCUAACUAAAGAAACUUCUAACAAGAGAAUCCUAAAAAAAAAAAAGAUCAAAUCCCGGUUCGUGCAACGGCCGCUCCUUUCUCUCGCGCAAGAGGUAGAAGAAUGAAAAAAGACGGUAAUACGCGUUGCACGCGGUCGAAAAAUCUUGGUGGAGUAGAAAAACACGAAGCAUUAUUUAGACAAGCUGCGCUCUUCGUUGAAAGAAUAACUCUCUCUCUCUUGUUAAAAAAAAAAAUGGGUAUAUUAAGAAAAUUCGUGGCUAAAAUUCAAGGUGGAGGAAAGGAGAGAAAGAAAGGAGAGAAGAAACAAAGGAAGAAAAAAACAUGAGGACAGCGAGUGACUAAAUAUCGAGACAUUAACCGAGCGGUAUGGUGCUCGAAGGUGCACCGAAAGAGGGAACUCGCCUGCUCGAGGUGGACGAGUUAAUUUUAGUUUAAUCGACCGACCUGAUACGAGAAGCUCGUGUACGAGCGUCGGUGCAUGUACGUAAGUAAGCAAUACGUAUCCGCGCACUCGAGAACGAGUCAAAGCACGCCUCUAUACAUACGGAAGGACUUGUUAUGCGUCGCUGGCUUACGUGUAACUUCGACAACCGCUGCUUUUCCCCCCCAUGGAAUUCACUUUCGAGUUUCCCGACACUUGGACACAGCGUUCCCGUCACAAAGUUCAGGAUAGAUAUAGGAAUCUCUAUGCGACUCGAUGCAUCGAUUCCACGCAAUAUCGUCGCAAAUUGAUCAUUCACGGGGAUACGGAAAUUAUUUAUCUCGAUACGGAUCAUUUCACGAACAUUGCUGAAAAAUCGAUGAUGACGACCGUCUACGAACCAUCCCUGCGUUCCCCCACGUAAAUGCGUGGAAAUUGACUGUUUAAGCUUAACCGGAUGAUACUCGUAGUAUAACCGUAGCGGCUGCGAGAGGCUUCCGUUUUAGAGUCAAAGUGCAUUCGGAUCGUUCGUGUAAAUGGAACGGGCGAGGGAGGGUUCGAAGUCGUUCGGAUCGAAAUCAUUCAAUUAAGGUCAGUGGCUACUACGAAACAAUCAUCAGGCCCGGCAUCGGGUGACGAACCCAGAAGAGACGCUUUCCCUUGGUCCUCUCGAACGUUUUUUUUGAUCAUCGAAGGUAUUAUUGACGACCCGCUCGUUAUCGAAAGAGCAUCGUACCUUCGCCGCAUAGCGAAGCGAUGCAACGAGGCUUAGGUAGCGAGAAAUACGGAAGUUAAAUGUCCCCUCGACGAUAAGAAUGUGUAGGGCGUUCUCCAGAGACGAAUCGAAUACAAAUCAGAGGAGGGAAGGUCGAAGUACCUUGGGCGAAUAACGAGUCGCGAGGGUUUGAACGUAUCUAAAUUCGAAUCGGCAAGACUUUUGAAAACGAGGAAAAUGAAAAUAGUUUUUUAUAGUUUUUCCAAAGAUUUGAUACGCACCGAUUCGUAAUUCGAUGUGGUUAAAAAAAGUGGAAAAACUCGCGUAUCUGUUUGAGCGGAGGGGAAAGGAGACAGGAACUGGGGAAGCCGGAAAUCGAGGAAAAAAGGGGGGAAGCAGCAGAAGGGCGAAGCGCUUGCGCGACGAGCUCGUUUCCAUGGCUUCGUUCGUUUCACGUAGCAACAGGAGGACUUUUGACCCCGUUCGAUUGUCCUUCGAAACAACUCGAUGCCUCAUCGUUUUCUCCCGCUUUGUCGGCCGAGAGAAGUGAAACGCAUCGUUGAAUCGCACUUAGGCGUCACUCUUCUUUAACCUCAACGCGUGUAUCGUCUUCGAUAAGAUUCCUCUUAGUUCAACGAUAAUAUUUCACUUCUAUCAUUUAUUCUAACAAUCGUACGUAUAUAUUUGGGGAUGAUCAUCAACGAAAAUAACAAAAAAAAAAAAAAAAAAAAAACAAUUUGAAAUCUGCACAGCUUGAACUACUCAAAAAAAAAAAAUAAAUAAAUAAAUAAAUAAAAGUAAGAUCAAUGAAUUUCGAAAGCGUUGAUCACGAAUGACGCACGAGUUUAAAUUUACGAGCGGAUCGAUGCGCAAAGAAAGCCACGAUACGGACGUUAAGUGGCACGUAUAUGAACAAUGCUUGUCGUCGAACAGAAUAAUUUCGAUAUUGUCUUAUUAUGCUAUAUUUCGAAAUAUAUGCCGUUUUCCCAAUCGUUUUCCCAGCCAAUACACGCAAUUUUACGAACGAACUAUUCUACACAAGGAAGAUAACGCGCAUGGAAGAAAUUUAAUUACAAAUUAUACACGAGUUAUAUAUUCUAAUCUAUGGAUUUUCCUAUAGAUCGAGAAACACAGUGUAGCAGUGGAAACACUGCCAAAUCGCGAUCCGCGCAUCGCAAUCAAAAUCGGUGAAAAUCUCUUCUUGAAUAGAAGAAUGAAAGAAAUUGAAAGGAAUUUUUUAGUCAGAUUCUUCGACUUUUUGUUCGACGACUGUGAAGCAAACACGCUUCUUUUCAACGAAAUAGAACGAAAAAGAUCAUCAAUUCAUACGAGGAAAGGAAAUAUUUUCGCCAAGUGAAUAGUACAGUCUACCAGUCCUCUUAUUUCACAUCGUGCGAGAGCAUACUUUGAUGUGACUCUUUCAUCCAACUUCUUUCUAAUCCACGCUUUUUCCCGCGCUUAGUUUCUACCAUAAGUAUGCGAUUGCAUGUACUUUCACUCCUCUUUUCUUUUUUCUCUAUCAAAUUAAGAAAAGAAAAAAAGAGAAAAGAAAUUAUAGUUCGAGAUGACCUCGUAUUCUUCCUUAGAUUAUUUUUAUCCCCUUUUUCUUGAUAUACAUAUCCACGCAUAAAUGGCAUACCAGUAACUAUCAAACUGAAUAUAAUAUCUACUAAUUUUAAUCAUCCCCAUGGAAAAAACUAAUCGGAAAAAUGGACACUGGUCGUAUGCUCGUGAAAUUCAAUGUUCUAAAUCAGAGUCGCAAGGACGUAUCGACUCGAACGUAGGUCAUGGAAGGGUGCAGACAUUCAGAAGCGGGUCUUUGGUAUGAAGGAACUCGUUUUAUCGUCGCGACUUGAUCGUUUUUUCUUCUUUUUUUCCCCUCCUUCUUAUUCUUUCUUCCAUCAGAAAAUAUUGGUGGUAAAGUAUCGAUACCCAGAUACAGUUCACAAACACGUAAUGGCUACGUAUAAGAGUGCUCAGAUAUUGGUGGUAAAUGUUUCGUGCAAUCAAAUACACUGAUUUUCAUGAUUGCCUGUGAAGGAUCUGGUCGAUUCUCGUACGAUUACGUCGAAGAGCAAAAGCGUGCAAAACGGUCGUUCUAUACGUAAGUGCGGUUACAUCAACUGUAUCUCUGAUUUCUGCUUUCUUUCGUACGAUUUCGUGCUAAUACGAUUGAUUGAAAAGCACUCGUCUCGCGCGUCCGCGUGCUACGUGAUCGCCGCGAUAGUUUCCUUUUCCAAGCGUGAAAUCCAAUGAAACGAACGAUUCGAAGAAAACCUCUGCUUCUCUACCUUUCUGUUCGCUAAUUUUGUAUCUUCCAUGUAUUCGUGACGAGUCGCGUCUAUAUUCGGCAUACACGCUCGCCAAAGAUGCACGAAUUAUCAUGGAAUAAUUCUGGAGAUAUCUCGUACUGAGAUAUGCGAAAUUUGAUCUUUUUUUCUUAUUGAAAAUGAUGAAUAUCUAUAUCGAAAGACAUUCAUGAGAAUGAAAGAACUUUUGAUGUCAAAGACCGAAAGAACGAUACGAUAUUAUUUUAAAAAUAUGUAAUUGUUUUUAUAAAAGAAUAUAAUCGAAGAGUAGGAAGUUAAAAAAAAAAAAAAAAAAAAAAAAACAACUAUCUAUUUCUCUCUUAAUAAAAAGAUAAAAAGAAUAAGUAACGAAGGUAGUAGGAUUAUUAAUAGAUAUUAAAUAAUAUCGAUCGAAUGUAUAAAUAGUGAAUAUCAAAGUGAAUCAAGAAGUUGUACACAUUUAAACGGCAUAGGAACGAAGCUCAUUAGAGAGUAGAUACGUUCCUGGGUCGUACGAUGGCAAAACGUCAGUGGUGGGGAAUAAGAGGGACAGGAGAGGGUUGUGGAGUUUCAGAAAAGAAACUGCCGGCUGAGCUGGAAACGAACGCGAGGUAAGGUGAAGGGGGACACGACAGCACGCCACUUGAAGUCACCGUGACUGCAUGUGUUACUAUGCUACGGUAUCGCCCUCGACGGUGAUCGAGGAAACGAUGAUGAACCGUAUUGUCGUGCUCUACAAUUUUACUUCGAAGAGGGCGACUAUAUCGCCAUGUUACACG
This is a long non-coding RNA of Apis florea (little honeybee), 4912 nucleotides long. Lineage: Eukaryota; Metazoa; Arthropoda; Insecta; Hymenoptera; Apidae. The record is from RefSeq and is a predicted model, not a curated record.